GUUUUUAUCAUUGGCUCUGCGCCUUCUCUACGUCUUCCGUUCUCUGUAUUCCACACUCGUGGCGAGGAAUCGCUCACGAUGAGAGGAAAGUGGAGGAAGAAGCGUAUGAGGAGGCUGAAGCGGAAGAGGAGGAAGAUGAGGGCAAGGUCUAAGUAAGACAGAAUUGCGCCAUCACCAAGUACAAGUCGGUUUCUGCGUAACGCGAGACUCCUGGCGAGUACCAUCCGGGACAUCGGGUACCUCGCAUCCGCUGGUCACGAGACCAACCAAUGUUUUGGAUGCCGACCUGUGCUUUCUGAAAUACAACCUCGUCACUCCACUGUU
Molecule: long non-coding RNA, 324 nt
Organism: Amphibalanus amphitrite
Lineage: Eukaryota; Metazoa; Arthropoda; Thecostraca; Balanomorpha; Balanidae
Exons: 4
Source: RefSeq, a predicted model, not a curated record